Molecule: ribosomal RNA, 383 nt
Filed under: uncultured eukaryote
Lineage: Eukaryota
Description: partial 18S ribosomal RNA
Rfam family: Eukaryotic small subunit ribosomal RNA
Source: RNAcentral
CAAUAGCGUAUAUUAAAGUUGUUGCAGUUAAAAAGCUCGUAGUUGGAUUUCUGGUGGGAGCGAUCGGUCUGGCGCUUAGCGCGAGUACUUGCAUCGUCUCCGGCCAUCCUUGGGGAGAGUCUGUCUGGCAUUAAGUUGUCGGGCAGAGGAUCCUCAUCGUUUACUGUGAAAAAAUUAGAGUGUUCAAAGCAGGCUUAUGCCGUUGAAUAUAUUAGCAUGGAAUAAUAAGAUAGGACUUUGGUACUAUUUUGUUGGUUUGCGCACCAAAGUAAUGAUUAAUAGGGACAGUUGGGGGUAUUCGUAUUCCGUUGUCAGAGGUGAAAUUCUUGGAUUUAUGGAAGACGAACUACUGCGAAAGCAUUUACCAAGGAUGUUUUCAUUAA